Molecule: ribosomal RNA, 490 nt
Filed under: uncultured bacterium
Lineage: Bacteria
Description: partial 16S ribosomal RNA
Rfam family: Bacterial small subunit ribosomal RNA
Source: RNAcentral
AUUGAACGCUGGCGGCAGGCCUAACACAUGCAAGUCGAACGGUAACAGAAAGCAGCUUGCUGCUUUGCUGACGAGUGGCGGACGGGUGAGUAAUGUCUGGGAAACUGCCUGAUGGAGGGGGAUAACUACUGGAAACGGUAGCUAAUACCGCAUAACGUCGCAAGACCAAAGAGGGGGACCUUCGGGCCUCUUGCCAUCGGAUGUGCCCAGAUGGGAUUAGCUAGUAGGUGGGGUAACGGCUCACCUAGGCGACGAUCCCUAGCUGGUCUGAGAGGAUGACCAGCCACACUGGAACUGAGACACGGUCCAGACUCCUACGGGAGGCAGCAGUGGGGAAUAUUGCACAAUGGGCGCAAGCCUGAUGCAGCCAUGCCGCGUGUAUGAAGAAGGGCUUCGGGUUGUAAAGUACUUUCAGCGGGGAGGAAGGGAGUAAAGUUAAUACCUUUGCUCAUUGACGUUACCCGCAGAAGAAGCACCGGCUAACUCCGUG